GGGUGACUGCGUACCUUUUGUAUAAUGGGUCAGCGACUUAUAUUCUGUAGCAAGGUUAACCGUAUAGGGGAGCCGCAGGGAAACCGAGUCUUAACUGGGCGUUAAGUUGCAGGGUAUAGACCCGAAACCCGGUGAUCUAGCCAUGGGCAGGUUGAAGGUUGGGUAACACUAACUGGAGGACCGAACCGACUAAUGUUGAAAAAUUAGCGGAUGACUUGUGGCUGGGGGUGAAAGGCCAAUCAAACCGGGAGAUAGCUGGUUCUCCCCGAAAGCUAUUUAGGUAGCGCCUCGUGAACUCAUCUUCGGGGGUAGAGCACUGUUUCGGCUAGGGGGUCAUCCCGACUUACCAACCCGAUGCAAACUACGAAUACCGAAGAAUGUUAUCACGGGAGACACACGGCGGGUGCUAACGUCCGUCGUGAAGAGGGAAACAACCCAGACCGCCAGCUAAGGUCCCAAAGUCAUGGUUAAGUGGGAAACGAUGUGGGAAGGCCCAGACAGCCAGGAUGUUGGCUUAGAAGCAGCCAUCAUUUAAAGAAAGCGUAAUAGCUCACUGGUCGAGUCGGCCUGCGCGGAAGAUGUAACGGGGCUAAACCAUGCACCGAAGCUGCGGCAGCGACACUAUGUGUUGUUGGGUAGGGGAGCGUUCUGUAAGCCGUUGAAGGUGGCCUGUGAGGGUUGCUGGAGGUAUCAGAAGUGCGAAUGCUGACAUAAGUAACGAUAAUGCGGGUGAAAAACCCGCACGCCGGAAGACCAAGGGUUCCUGUCCAACGUUAAUCGGGGCAGGGUGAGUCGACCCCUAAGGCGAGGCCGAAAGGCGUAGUCGAUGGGAAACAGGUUAAUAUUCCUGUACUCGGUGUUACUGCGAAGGGGGGACGGAGAAGGCUAUGUUGGCCGGGCGACGGUUGUCCCGGUUUAAGCAUGUAGGCGGAUGUUCCAGGUAAAUCCGGAACGUUACUAACGCUGAGGUGUGAUGACGAGGCACUACGGUGCUGAAGUGACAAAUGCCCUGCUUCCAGGAAAAGCCUCUAAGCAUCAGGUAACAUCAAAUCGUACCCCAAACCGACACAGGUGGUCAGGUAGAGAAUACCAAGGCGCUUGAGAGAACUCGGGUGAAGGAACUAGGCAAAAUGGUGCCGUAACUUCGGGAGAAGGCACGCUGAUGGUAGGUGAAGUGACUUGCUCAUGGAGCUGAAAUCAGUCGAAGAUACCAGCUGGCUGCAACUGUUUAUUAAAAACACAGCACUGUGCAAACACGAAAGUGGACGUAUACGGUGUGACGCCUGCCCGGUGCCGGAAGGUUAAUUGAUGGGGUUAUCCGUAAGGAGAAGCUCUUGAUCGAAGCCCCGGUAAACGGCGGCCGUAACUAUAACGGUCCUAAGGUAGCGAAAUUCCUUGUCGGGUAAGUUCCGACCUGCACGAAUGGCGUAAUGAUGGCCAGGCUGUCUCCACCCGAGACUCAGUGAAAUUGAACUCGCUGUGAAGAUGCAGUGUACCCGCGGCAAGACGGAAAGACCCCGUGAACCUUUACUAUAGCUUGACACUGAACACUGGUCCUUGAUGUGUAGGAUAGGUGGGAGGCUUUGAAGUGUGGACGCCAGUCUGCAUGGAGCCAUCCUUGAAAUACCACCCUUUAAUGGCUGGUGUUCUAACGUGGGCCCCUAAUCGGGGUUGCGGACAGUGUCUGGUGGGUAGUUUGACUGGGGCGGUCUCCUCCUAAAGAGUAACGGAGGAGCACGAAGGUCAGCUAAUCCUGGUCGGACAUCAGGAGGUUAGUGCAAUGGCAUAAGCUGGCUUGACUGCGAGCGUGACGGCGCGAGCAGGUGCGAAAGCAGGUCAUAGUGAUCCGGUGGUUCUGAAUGGAAGGGCCAUCGCUCAACGGAUAAAAGGUACUCCGGGGAUAACAGGCUGAUACCGCCCAAGAGUUCAUAUCGACGGCGGUGUUUGGCACCUCGAUGUCGGCUCAUCACAUCCUGGGGCUGAAGUAGGUCCCAAGGGUAUGGCUGUUCGCCAUUUAAAGUGGUACGCGAGCUGGGUUUAGAACGUCGUGAGACAGUUCGGUCCCUAUCUGCCGUGGGCGCUGGAGAAUUGAGGGGGGCUGCUCCUAGUACGAGAGGACCGGAGUGGACGCAUCACUGGUGUUCGGGUUGUCAUGCCAAUGGCAUUGCCCGGUAGCUAAAUGCGGAAGAGAUAAGUGCUGAAAGCAUCUAAGCACGAAACUUGCCCCGAGAUGAGUUCUCCCUGACUCCUUGAGAGUCCUGAAGGAACGUUGAAGACGACGACGUUGAUAGGCCGGGUGUGUAAGCGCAGCGAUGCGUUGAGCUAACCGGUACUAAUGAACCGUGAGGCUUAACCUUACAACGCCGAAG
RNAcentral lists this ribosomal RNA (2369 nucleotides) under Klebsiella michiganensis. RNAcentral describes it as "bacterial LSU rRNA". It matches the Rfam family "Bacterial large subunit ribosomal RNA", at positions 591 to 2925 of the family's 2925-position model. The record is from RNAcentral. Lineage: Bacteria; Pseudomonadati; Pseudomonadota; Gammaproteobacteria; Enterobacterales; Enterobacteriaceae.